CGGAGGAUCCAAGCGUUAUCCGGAUUAUUGGUUAAGGUGCGUAGGCGGCCUAUUAAGUCAGGGUGAAGACGGUAGCUCAACUAUCGCAGUGCCUUUGAUACUGAUGGGCUUGAAUGAACUAGAGGUAGGCGGAAUGAGACAAGUAGCGGUGAAAUGCAUAGAUAUGUCUCAGAACACCGAUUGCGAAGGCAGCUUACUAUGGUUUAAUUGACGCUGAGGCACGAAAGCGUGGGAUCAAACAGGAUU
Molecule: ribosomal RNA, 246 nt
Filed under: uncultured bacterium
Lineage: Bacteria
Description: partial 16S ribosomal RNA
Rfam family: Bacterial small subunit ribosomal RNA
Source: RNAcentral